Molecule: ribosomal RNA, 254 nt
Filed under: uncultured bacterium
Lineage: Bacteria
Description: partial 16S ribosomal RNA
Rfam family: Bacterial small subunit ribosomal RNA
Source: RNAcentral
UACGUAGGGCGCAAGCGUUGUCCGGAUUUAUUGGGCGUAAAGAGCUCGUAGGCGGUUCGGUAAGUCGGGUGUGAAAACUCUGGGCUCAACCCAGAGCCGCCACCCGAUACUGCUGUGACUCGAGUGCGGUAGGGGAGCGGGGAAUUCCUGGUGUAGCGGUGAAAUGCGUAGAGAUUGGAAAGAACACCGAUGGCGAAGGCACUUUACUGGGCUAUUACUAACACUCAGAGACGAAAGCUAGGGUAGCAAAUGGG